AGAGUUUGAUCCUGGCUCAGAUUGAACGCUGGCGGCAUGCCUUACACAUGCAAGUCGAACGGCAGCGCGGGGCAACCUGGCGGCGAGUGGCGAACGGGUGAGUAAUAUAUCGGAACGUACCCUGGAGUGGGGGAUAACGUAGCGAAAGUUACGCUAAUACCGCAUACGAUCUAAGGAUGAAAGUGGGGGAUUCGCAAGAACCUCAUGCUCCUGGAGCGGCCGAUAUCUGAUUAGCUAGUUGGUAGGGUAAAAGCCUACCAAGGCAUCGAUCAGUAGCUGGUCUGAGAGGACGACCAGCCACACUGGAACUGAGACACGGUCCAGACUCCUACGGGAGGCAGCAGUGGGGAAUUUUGGACAAUGGGCGCAGGCCUGAUCCAGCAAUGCCGCGUGAGUGAAGAAGGCCUUCGGGUUGUAAAGCUCUUUUGUCAGGGAAGAAACGGUGAUCUCUAAUAUAGGUUGCUAAUGACGGUACCUGAAGAAUAAGCACCGGCUAACUACGUGCCAGCAGCCGCGGUAAUACGUAGGGUGCAAGCGUUAAUCGGAAUUACUGGGCGUAAAGCGUGCGCAGGCGGUUUUGUAAGACUGUCGUGAAAUCCCCGGGC
This 605-nucleotide ribosomal RNA is filed under the name uncultured bacterium. RNAcentral describes it as "bacterial SSU rRNA". It matches the Rfam family "Bacterial small subunit ribosomal RNA", at positions 8 to 608 of the family's 1533-position model. The record is from RNAcentral.